RNAcentral lists this unclassified non-coding RNA (303 nucleotides) under Coprinellus disseminatus. RNAcentral's name for it is "sequence contains 5.8S rRNA gene". The record is from RNAcentral. Lineage: Eukaryota; Fungi; Basidiomycota; Agaricomycetes; Agaricales; Psathyrellaceae.
GAACGCACCUUGCGCCCUUUGGUAUUCCGAGGAGCAUGCCUGUUUGAGUGUCAUUAAAUUCUCAACCUCACCCGUUUUCUGAACGGUUCUCCGAGGCUUGGAUGUGGGGGUUUGUGCAGGCUGCCUCAGUGCGGUCUGCUCCCCUGAAAUGUAUUAGCGAGAUUCAUAUCUGAACCUCCGUCUAUCGGUGUGAUAAUUAUCUACGUCGUUGACUUGGUUCGGACUCGCUUCUAACCGUCCGCGAGGACAACAUUACUUGACAAUUUGACCUCAAAUCAGGUAGGACUACCCGCUGAACUUAAG